Molecule: non-coding RNA, 891 nt
Organism: Ciona intestinalis (vase tunicate)
Lineage: Eukaryota; Metazoa; Chordata; Ascidiacea; Phlebobranchia; Cionidae
Source: RefSeq, a predicted model, not a curated record
UUUGGUGUGAAUGCAUGGACAAAGGAUAAUAUAUAUGUUGUUGCGUGUUAUGUGUGUUUAUAUUAUAGCAAUGAAGGUAUAUAGCUAUAGAAGGUUGGGAAGUUAUCUAUAUUAGUUUAGCGGCUGAGUUUAAAAUCGUUAAGUUGAGUGUACUGUGGGGUAUGAUGGGAUACUGUUAGUAGUACAUAAUAUUCCUCGGAUCUACAUGAACGUAUAUAGCUAGUUAGGAAGCUGUUUUAUGGUACUCUGGGGGAAGAUGGGACACCAUUAGCACAUAAUAUCCAAACAUCCUGAUCGUGUUUUAAACAAAUAACAAUGGUCAAUGGGAGUCGUGAGGAUACGGUUGUUUAACAAAAGCCAAUUUAGAAUACGGUUUUGUAUUUCGUUAAAUAUUUUUAUUUACUACCAAAUGGGACGAUAUAACAUUACAAUGACAUUUGUUAAACCACGCCACGGAUAUUUCGAAUUAAAUUAUUAAACAUAGACACUAAAAUGGUUGUUUUUCAGCUGUUAGACUCAUUAUAGAUAUGAAACUGUUUACGAUUUGCCUCGUCCUGUUAUUGGUUGGCAAACUUUGCGAAGGUAAAGACGACGUACACAGAUACCAGGUAACGUUGGAUAAGGCGGCUUGUCCAGACGGUGAUUGUUAUAAGAUGGUUCAGGAAAAAGUGAAAGAACUCGAAAUCGAGAAUGACGUAAAGAUUGACGUUCAAGAAUACGAGAAGUUUCAACACCAGGACCUGUGACGUCACAAUGGUCUAACCCAAUGGCGGGAAAUUUAAAUUUUCAAGAAACGUCCAUUGUAACAAUUUUUACGUCAUACAGAAUAUUGUUACGUCACUAGUAGAGCAUCAUACUCGCACUUAAAUACACAGAACUGUAAAACUAGAA